This 256-nucleotide unclassified non-coding RNA is filed under the name Bombus terrestris (buff-tailed bumblebee). RNAcentral's name for it is "misc RNA ENSBTSG00005025379.1". Lineage: Eukaryota; Metazoa; Arthropoda; Insecta; Hymenoptera; Apidae. The record is from RNAcentral.
AGAGCGUCACCUUCGGAGAAGUACAACCCAUUGGACCAUGAACGCAACCUCGCAAUCUCCCGCCGCGGCCGGACGAUCAUCAGCGCAACGAAUUCCAACAACAACAAAAUCUCGCAACGAUAAGACCAUACAGGAAUGCCUCGACCAGUAUCAACAGGCUAAUAAGAAUGAUGAUUGUCUCUUGAAAACAUAUCAAGCCCAACUCGAGGAAGAGUGGAAACGGUUCCGACUCGUCCAAGAGGAAUUAGAGUACCUC